GACGAACCGUCCUAACGUUGUUCGGAAUCACUGGGCUUAAAGGGCGCGUAGGCGGGUCAGCAAGUCCGGGGUGAAAUCUUUCGGCUUAACCGGAAAAGUGCCUUGGAUACUGCUGGUCUAGAGGGAGGUAGGGGCAUGUGGAACUUCCGGUGGAGCGGUGAAAUGCGUUGAUAUCGGAAGGAACGCCGGUGGCGAAAGCGACGUGCUGGAUCUCUUCUGACGCUGAGGCGCGAAAGCCAGGGGAGCAAACAGG
This 253-nucleotide ribosomal RNA is filed under the name uncultured bacterium. RNAcentral describes it as "partial 16S ribosomal RNA". It matches the Rfam family "Bacterial small subunit ribosomal RNA", at positions 524 to 776 of the family's 1533-position model. The record is from RNAcentral.